Molecule: small nuclear RNA, 164 nt
Organism: Thrips palmi
Lineage: Eukaryota; Metazoa; Arthropoda; Insecta; Thysanoptera; Thripidae
Product: U1 spliceosomal RNA
Exons: 1
Source: RefSeq, a predicted model, not a curated record
GCACCCACCGGUCACGUCUUUGACGUUAGGAGUCCCCUGCGUCCAGGGCGAGGCUUGUCCAUUCCAUUGCACCUCGGACGAUUUGACCCUUGCGAGCAUCCCUAAUGAGGGCGCCUCGGGCACGCAAUUUUUGAAAGUCGGGACUGCGUUUGCGCUAUUUCGGA